This 2670-nucleotide unclassified non-coding RNA is filed under the name Venturia canescens. RNAcentral describes it as "cyclin-dependent kinase inhibitor 1-like, transcript variant X1". The record is from RNAcentral. Lineage: Eukaryota; Metazoa; Arthropoda; Insecta; Hymenoptera; Ichneumonidae.
UCUUUACAUUUCCACAUCGCUCGUCGCCAUAAGCUUCUCGACUUCUAUUUAUUCUCGUGUCAAUUCGUCGUUUGCUCACGUGCUUCAAACUCCUCCGAUCGUCCCCUCAAAGCCGUGCUGCUCGACCAGCUUUUUCUUCUUCAUUCUUCGAGUAAUUUCGUAAUAUUCGAGUCAUGUUCGUUCUGAGGCUCUACAAGAGUGCGCGAAAAAACUCGAAUUUUCCUUCCCGAGCUACCGGUUUUUAAGGGCAUUGAAAUCACACUCGCGAGCAUUCGCUCUUCUUCGAGCUGUCGUCAUCGAGACCUUGCAUUUAUAUUCGCGCUCGAGCACGUGUGCAAUCGCAUCCUUAUCUGCGCUCUUAAACUAUUAUUCACUGGCUAUCGACAGCGAUAAGAUAACGUCGAUAUUAAGCUUCUCUUUAAAGAGCUUCAUGUGGCAUAUCGAAGCUCGUAACAUUCGUCGCUCGUGCGUCUCUGUCCACUCGGCGAUUACGAUGCACGAGGCUUGUUACUGGAAUGGGAAAGUUCGCGGAGCACGACUUUCGCCGGCGACUGGAUCCAAUGAGUUAGACAAGAUUCGUGUCCGUGGUGACUCGCUGGCGCAGAAUUUCAGUGGGGAGAGUUUCGAAGAUUCGGAAAAUAUUUUCGACCAAUUUCGCCGAUCGUUCAGCCCGGAAAUCCGCGUUUUUCCAUCAGGCGGAAAACCCUUCAUCCGGAACUGAAAAUCCACCAGCUCUCGAUUCCCGUUUUCGCCUUUCGUUCUUCCGAAGUUCGAGUCGCUUUUUCGCUAGACUUGGCCUCACAGCUGACGUCCUGACGUCCAGCAAAUUUGUCCUAAUGAAGUCCCCAAUUAGCGUCGAUCAACAAGGAAAAUGAGUAAUCGCGGGCGUUCAGCUGCCCACCGGGACGGAGAGCUUCGAACCUUUUUGGGGCAGAAUGAGCCGAAAACAGGGUUUCUCCGGUGCGAGAAGUGUCCAUAUGCUUGUAGCUUCGAUCGCGUUCCAUCGACGGAAAGGAAGGAGCCGGUUCGCACGCGGCGACAGAGUUUAGUCGAGUGCGCGCGCAGGCUGAGUCAUCCCUUGCGCGUGGCGGAGUCUCCCCUCGCGAUGAAGCCACCCCCACGAGGAAGGACGGCCGAAAAAUCGAUCGCGAUUCGAAUGCUCGCGUCGGUUUCGCAGCUCAGACGCCCGAGCGUCUGGCGCGCUGUGCAAUUCUCGGAAAAUUCUCCUAUCGCGUUACGCAAUUGUCGCGAGUUUUGCGCGAUACGUGCACUCGCGGAGGCACGUCAGCUGAUAGACGCGUCUGACGCUCGAGCGUGGAAAAGACCGUUUCGUCGAAACAGUUCCGCGAGCGCCUGGCAUAACGCGAGCCCGACUCGCUUCGCUCCUCCUCGAUACCGCAGAGAAUCAACCUUUUUCAAUCUUCAUCGUCGCUUUUCUCUAUUCCACUCUCGCAUCAGUCUCAAGGACUCGAUGAAGUACGAAAACAGUCCAGCUCGACUCGCGAUGCAAGACGGCAACGGAGACGUGCGGGAAGCUUUUACGAGACGAAUUCCGGCGAACGGAAACGUGCGAAGAAGGUUGUUCGUCGACGCGGAUGAAAACGAGGGGCACGGUCAAGGUCUCUCUGAAAAUCGGACGAACGAAUUUUUCGAGGAUGCUCGCAACAACCUCGAGCAGGCGAAAGAACGAUGGAACUUUGAUUUCGUGACCGAAACACCGCUGCCUGGAAACUACGUUUGGGUGAAGCUCGACAAAGAUGGUAAAGAGGUGCCAGCUCCAGACUCCCCUGGGCAGAAAGACGUGAGCGAAAGCACGAGUGAUCGCGGGGCGUGCCAACUAACCAGGAUUCAAAUGAUGGCAAAGUUGGACGAUCAGUAACCGAAAUUUUCUCGGAUUUCUCGGAUAUUUUGAUAUUGAGAGGACACUUUGUUACUCGAGUAUUAGAUUUUUCGUGUCGAUAUUCAAUUGGAAAUACAAGCGAGGUCAUUGGAAGGAAGUACGAUCACGAGGUCGAGUCCCGGCUUCGGAAGUUGAUUUGAUUUCACGAAAAUUUAUGUCUCGCGGAGUCUGUCGACCGGAAGUGUCGUCAACGGAGUUUUUCUUCCCCAGGAUCCAAAUUUCGCCUUCCAAAAUUGGAUGCUGAUCGACUGACCUCAGAAAUAUGGGCACCGACAGACUACUGGGCAUGAGGGCUCGGAACAGCUGAACUCUGUUUCUUCGUCCCACGAGCUUUUCUUGAGCCCCAGGAAAUGAUCGUACUUCCUUGAACUAGUCAGACAGCUCAAGUUUUUGCUCGAAUGAGUAAAAAGCCUUCUCGAUUAAAAUACGAAACCAAAGUUUCGGGUCAGUGAUGAGAGCGAGGAUUUUCGGAGGCUUUUAUUUAUUCUCGUAUUGUGUGAACUUGAGGAGUCCAAUCUGAUAUUGAAAGCGAGCUUUCCACGCAACGAAAUUGCCUUUCUUUUUUUUAUAUUCUUAGAACUGUCGAAUUACCAUUGAUUUUAAUCAGCAGAAAAUUUAUUAAAUUAUUUAUUAAUACUUUUUUAAUGUGCAAUAUUUAAAAAUCUGUAUUCAUCAUUAUACUCAUACGUAUGACCAGCGCGAGAUUCAUCGUCGCAUUACGUUUUGUAGAAAAACCAAUAAUUAUUGUAAUAUAUUUAUACAACAUUUGA